GUGCUGUUGUUCUGAUAAUACCUGCAAGAAGGCUAAAUGAAAUUUCAAGCCUUGUGCGUAAAGAAGCAUGAUUAUUCCAACAUGGUAGAAGGUUUGGAAGGUUUAACAACACUUCAAACAACGAAGGCCCUUUCGGAAAAGGGGGUAAGUUUUUACAGAAAUUAAAGGAAUAAAGCUCUGGUCAAACAAGGGUGAGAGUUGAUGAGAGUUGAGAAGCGAGAGUUUGCAUGAGAGUUUUCUUAACUCUCGUGCCCCAGUCAAACGAGAACAAGACAAUGCCAGCAUUAAAAUAAGCGUGUUUUUGACACACUUUGUGUCCUUGUAAAAGGGAAAUGUGUCCUUGUAAAUUGAAAAGUGUGUACUUGGGACAGUGUAUACUUUGUCUUGGGAAUAAAGCCCAGAAAAUCCUUUCCCAGUCAUUUCCCACAGCAAUAUUGUUGUAAUCGUGUGUUUAUUGCCUGAUGAUAGCCAGAUAUAUAUUUCUGGUUUAUAUAUUUCUGUUUUUUCUGUUUAUAACAUGUCAAGAAACGCCUGUAAAAUUACCAACGGCUUCACGUUUUUCCUAUAGGCGCGGUUCCAUGAUAAUGGCAAUAUCCGCAGAAAUCAUUUUACAACAAGAAAAUAUUUCUUUAAAAAAGAAAUAAUGUUUCGUUCCAAUAUAAUUAUAGAAAUACCAGACGUCUGUAAUUAGCGGUUGUGACCAUAGAUCACUUGUAUAUGUCGAGCAAUGAAAUUGGUUCAUUUUGUGAGGCGGGCGGG
Paramuricea clavata is the source of this 759-nucleotide non-coding RNA. Lineage: Eukaryota; Metazoa; Cnidaria; Anthozoa; Malacalcyonacea; Plexauridae. The record is from the annotation of a GenBank genome assembly.